Molecule: long non-coding RNA, 606 nt
Filed under: Solanum tuberosum (potato)
Lineage: Eukaryota; Viridiplantae; Streptophyta; Magnoliopsida; Solanales; Solanaceae
Description: long non-coding RNA (STUB_LNC006989)
Source: RNAcentral
GACUUAGCUGCUAUUUUGGUACAUGUAAAAAUUAAUAUUUGAUUCUGAUGGUGACUUGCCUUGUGUGUUUUCUGUUGUAUUUCCACUGAGUUUGGGGAUUCUAAUAGUUGUGGUGAUCCUUUGGUAGUUUCUGAUGAUAUGGUAGCAGCAAAAUACAUGAAUAUUAAUCAUCUUUGUCAAAAAAAAUACAUGGAUAUUAAUCAUCUUUGUCAUUUCAAUUGCACCUUCCUUCGCAACACCACCAUAGCUCCUGAUUUUUUUCGCGACACCACCAUUCUACUGCCAACACACCUUCUCAAUUUAACAAUUCACCUACACAAAAAACCACAGGCAAAUCUCAACACCACUAUAGUCACAAAAUAUACAGAAAAAGGCCACCACGACAACCACCAUCUCCACUCUCAUCUUCUUCAUAAAGCACUCACCACAAUUGUGAAAACAACAACUCGGUUUCUACCGCUAUCGAUGUAGGAAGAUCAAGCUCGUUUUCAGAAUUCACUCUCAAAUUGGUAGAGGAAUCUACCAUCGGGUGAGGAACGCCUAACUCGUCAUCAAAAGCCUCCAAAAGAUAGUCUAGCUUCAAACUAUGACUCGUUGGAUUCACAU